Molecule: unclassified non-coding RNA, 1861 nt
Filed under: uncultured fungus
Lineage: Eukaryota; Fungi
Description: sequence contains 18S rRNA gene, ITS1, 5.8S rRNA gene, ITS2, 28S rRNA gene
Rfam family: Eukaryotic large subunit ribosomal RNA (bases 729-1861)
Source: RNAcentral
GGAUGGAUCAUUAAAAACUAUAUAACCCCCCCCCCUUUCUUUUUUUUAAUUUUCUUUCUUGAAAGAGGAAGAGAAAAAAAAAGAGGGGUAUAACCUGUGAAAUAUUAUAAAGUCUUAACUUUUUUUUAAAAAAAUCACUUUUUUUAAUUAGUAUGUCUUAUAUAAAAUGAAUUUUAAUUUUUUUUCCCUUCUUCUUUCUUUCUUUCUUUUUCUUUCAAAAGAGAAAAAAGAAGAGAUUGAUUUUUGAUUGAAAAUUUUUUAAAAUACAAAAAAUAAUAAUCUUAAUUACAAUUUAUAGCGGUGGAUGUCUCGGCUAUCUCCUCGAUGAAGAGCGCAGCAAGAAGCGAUAUGUAUUGUGAAUUGCAGAAUUACGCGAAUCAUCGAAAUCUUGAACGCAACCUGCGCCUAGAGGUAACCCUUCUAGGCGUGCCUGUUUGAGUGUCGAUUAAAUAUCAAUCUUCAAAUUCUUUUUUGAAGGAAUUGACAGUGCAGAUAGAGAAAAGUAUCUGCUCUGUUUAAAAAUAUGUCAAGAUGAAAGUUUUUUUUAAAAAACCAAAAAAAAAUCUUUGUCGAAAACUUGGCGGUUAUUGCAACCAACAAUCCAUUAGACUUUGUUUUUUUUUUUUGGCUGAAUUCAUAUUCAUUCUUGAAUAAGCGGAGUAAAAAUUCACUAGUGCCUUAUUGGAGUUUGACACUAGCAUAAAAUAAAUAUUCUCCAAUUUCUACUUCGACCUCAAAUCAGGUACGACUACGCGCUGAAUUUAAGCAUAUAAAUAAGCGCAGGAAAAGAAACUAACCAGGAUUCCCUUAGUAAAGGCGAUUGAAAAGGGAAAAGCUCAGACUGAAUCUAACACCUUUGGUGUUCGAGUUGUAGUCUUCAGACCAUCUUCCGAAUUGAUUGGGUUACCAAGUCAACUGGAACGUUACGCCAUAGAGGGUGAUAGCCCCGUAGGUUUCCUUAAAAUCAGUUCAUUCGCGUUGAUGAGUCUUAGAGUCGGGCUAUUUGGGAGUAUAGCCCUAAGUGGGAGGUAAAUUCCUUCUAAAGCUAAAUAUUUGGAGAUAGACCGAUAGCGAACAAGUACCGUGAGGGAAAGAUGCAAAGAACUCUGAAAAGAGAGUUAAAAGUACCUGAAACCGCUAUAAAGGAAACGAUUCGUACCACAACGAAAAAACUAUUGUGGUUCUGUGAAUUUUAGUGUAAUCAAGGAUUUGGAUGAGUUGGUCUUAUAGAUUGACCAUUUCAAGUUCAAAAUUGCAUUUGAAUUUACAUACUCCAUUUUAGUUAUCAUCAAUAUGUAUGGAGAUCGAAGUAGAAAGGAUUUAAGAAGGUAACCCGAGGAAACUUGGGCGAAUACUUGGAUUAUAAAUACUUUGAUUCAUCUAUAGAGGAUACAAUGAGACGCUUGCGGAGUUAAUAGUUUCACGUGGUGUAUAAUUGUGGUUUACUACAUGUAGUUCUCUGCUUUUGUAUGCUUCACCGAUUCUAUACUUCUAGUUCUCAUAAUGAUAUUGAUCAGUGGUACCAAUCGACCCGUCUUGAAACACGGACCAAGGAGUCUAACGUAUGUGCAAGUCAAUGGGUGACAAACCUAAUGGCGUAAUGAAAGUAAUUUUUUUUUUUUGGUGGGAUACUAAGGUUUUGUACUAAAGUUGCACCACCGACCGAUCUUCUCCUCAUUGAGGAUAGAUUUGAGUAUGAGCACAUCCGUUAGGACCCGAAAGAUGGUGAACUAUGCCUGCAUAGGGUGAAGCCAGAAGAAAUUCUGGUGGAGGCUCGUAGCGAUACUGACGUGCAAAUCGUUCGUCAAAUGUGGGUAUAGCGGCGAAAGACUAAUCGAACCGUCUAGUAGCUGGUUCCUGC